UAUUUUGAAUAUUUUGCAGAGUCCUUUCCAUUUCACGCCCCUCACUUUUCUCUGCACUCUCUCUCUUCCUUCCCUUUCCUCCUUCCUCUGUAAAAAUUGAACGGCGUAUAAAUCGGCGGAUGGAUGCAAUGAAAACUCGGCACAGGGAUUUGUUGGUGCUGCCUCGAAUGAGUAAUUGAGGAGAUGGAGAGUCAACCCGCACCUAGAAGCCUCUCACUAAACCUCCGCCGCCGUUCCUCUCAACAGCCAUCGCCGUCUUCAGGAGUUGAGGAGGUUAUUAGUGUAGACUUCGUUUUUCUCAAGGGUUGAUCUGCAAACUUAGUUGUUGCUUACUAACUUCUGGAGUCCUAGGUUUCCCAUGCUUCAAAUAAGUGAUAACAGUGUUCUUUGUUGCCCGAUUUCUUGAGCUAAGGAGAGAGAACUAUUCCGGUUUUGAAAAAUUAAUUGAAAAAGCCAUAGGGCCGAUCGACUGAAUGAGAGCUUUAUGAGUUGCAAUCUUGUUGAUAUUGGUGCAUAAAAAUGAUUUAGGCAAUAGGAAUAAAGGCCUCAUAUCCAAAUUAUCACAUGCCUGACCCUGCAUAAACCACUAGUGAGCCAGUUUGAGCCCCAAAAGACUAAUUUCUUUGUUGAAAAUUUUGAAGUCCUUAUAUCAGCUUACUUAUUAUAUCCAUUUGUUGGCCUAUAUUUUCUUCCCUAGUCACUAACAUUAAAGUGCUAGCACAUUCUUGGGAGGGUAUUAUGGUGGCAAGAAAAAGAUGGAGGUUCUGGACCAUUCAUUAGGUGGUAUUACUGAGAUACAAAGUGAGUGAAAAACUGUCCCUUCAAACGAAAAUAGAAUAAAAAGGCAGCCUUUCAAGAGUAAAAAAAAGCCAAGGCUAAAAAAAAUGGCAGCCUUUCAUAAGUAAAAAAAAGCUAAGGCUAGAAAAAAAUAAAAAGGCAGCCUUUCAUAAGUAAAAAAAGCCAAGGCUAGAAAAAAAAAGGCAGCCUUUCAUGUCUAAAAAAAGCCAAGGCUAGAAAAAAACAACAAAAUAAAAAAGCAGCCUUUCUUGAGUAAAAAAAAAGCCAAGGCUCGAAAAAAAAUAUUGAGCGAAAAAAUAGAAAUGAUAAAAGAAUGCUCAAAAGAAUAAGUUGACAUAUGGUCGAAAAAUCUCAUGUUUGGGGUGUUGAGCUGUAAGAAAUUUGUACGCAGUGAGUGAGAUGUGAAAGACGUUGUGAUGGAUGUGCUAGUAUUUUAAGAAUGGUGGUAAGCUACUUAACCAAAUAUUAUCCCACCUUUACCAAAAGCCCCGUUACAUCCCAAUGAAUAAGACCUUUUGAUUUGUGCAUCAUAUUGACUUGUGAGCAAUGAAUUUUGCUUGAUUUUGGGAGAAAGAUCUUAUGUGCAUAAAAUAAAGAAUAGUCAGAAGAACUUCUCUUUAUGAAUUAGUGACGAUGGUUUGAGACUCCCAGGACACAACAUGAACUUAGAUUGAAGCAUGGGAUGCCUAGUUCUUAGGGAAUUAGUUCGUGUACAAUUCUUGUUCUAAAGUUUUACCCGCGAGUGAAUUCGGGGUCGGCCUAAUUUCCCUACUGAUUCAUAUGGUUUGGCGUGACUUGAGGCAGAGGAUUAUCUAAUAUAUCUUUAUACAAUGGAAUGGAGGGUAGCGUAUUACUGCUCCAAGACAAUUUUGACCACUUCGAUAUCAAGUGUCUCUCAGUUCAUACUAAAGCCAUCAAUGAAGGACUAUUGCAAAAUCUUUCUGAUGCUCUACGCUUGUCGGUACCUGAUAAAAUUGGAGUUGGUCUUGCUUUGUCUAAAUCUGAAGAUCACGAUACCAGGAUGUGUGGAAAGAAUUUUUGUUUGAGUCAGAUUAAAGUGCUGUGUGCCAAUCCUAUUGCAUUUGAGGCGACUGAGAUAAUUCAACAUAUUCUCGUGUUACUCUUAGUUGAUUUGAAGACCUCUCUAAGCAUUCAGAUUCACUCUUGCAAAUGUUAUCUCUUGUGAAACUAAGGUGCUUUCCGUGAUAGUUCCUCGUGCAAAAAUAGACUUGAAUUUCUUAGUCAAUCUGAAGGCCGAGGCCCAACUAUGUGGAGAUCACUUCUUCAGCGCUGUUAAAAAUGCUCCGCACUGGUGGACGAGCAAGACCUGGGGGCCGCGACCUGGUGGGGGCAAGUCGUGUGGCGGCAGGGGGAGACUUAGUUCUUAACUUAGAAGAAGUCGGGGAAAGGGAAUAGAUCAAGUUUCUGAAGGAUGUUCAGGACCUCUCUCCCAGUCACAUUCAACCUUUGGGUUCACUUUUGAAUAUCUUUUUGGAAGCUUGUCCCACUAUUUUAAAGGACUAUACCAUGGAGCCUGAUGAGAAACUUAUACUAAAUGCAGCACAUUUGAUGGUAUCAUUAAGAGGCCCUUGCAUCACAUUUAGGAACCUUUACUUGGUUUAGUAUCAAGCGAGCUUAGAAGGUCACUUCAGGGCUUGGCCGUAGCAAGUGAUUUUCUAGAGCAGUCAUUUCAGCUGGUAACUAAUGAUAAUAUCCUUUGCAUCAAUGGCUUGAUUUCCAUAAUAACCAUUAAGAUAAAAGAGGAAGGAAACACAAACAGAGUUGACACCGAUGAAUGGAAUCCAUCCACUGAUACACAUUUCCUCGAUUGAUAACCGCUCUGGAAAUGUUGUGAUACACCCAAAAUUUUAAAUAUUAAUCCAGCAGUUGUGUUAGUCUACGAUAGUUUGAUCAACUAUCGCGGGACCAAAUUUUCUAUAGAUUGCAAACUUGAGUUUGCUCGCACUGCUUGCUCAUCUAAAUUCUGCUGCUGUGCUGCGCUAUAAGCAGAACUUGGUCCUUUUUUGAGAUUGCUACUUCAGUGUUGAUCAAGUUUCAGAGAUGUCCACUGUUCUUUAGCAGUGAGAUGUUAUAGCUCGUAGGAUUUUUCCGCUAGUACACUUUGAGCUCACACAUAUUUAGGGACUAACCCCGGAGUUGUCUAGGUUCUCGCUUCCAGUAUAGGGGUGUGAUCCUGGUGCCCCCCCUUACUUGCUUUCUACGCAAACCAGUGAGUAUUAUAUCUCCCUUUACAUUUUCUUGUCCUGAGGUUAAUGUUUAGAAUAGUUUUGAGGUGUGGGUGUUUUGCGCGCAUUUUUCUUUUUGUGCUUGUAAUUUAUCCUGAUUGUGCGUGCAUGCAUGGUUUUCUCUCUAUUGAUUAUCACCUGACACUUUUUAUGGGUAAUUAGUAUAGACUUAGUUUCUCUCAAGGGUUGCUUACUAACUUCUGGAGAACUAAGAUUCCCUAAUUUAAAACACAUAAUUUUUUAAUAUUUUAAAGAUAUGUGAAAAAGAAUUUGUGCUGCUGCUGUACAAGACCAAGUGAAUUUCUUAAAUUAUUUUAAUGAUAUGUGUAAAUGAAUUUGUGUUGCUACUUAUUACAGCAUUAAUACUAGCAAAUAGCUGAUAAAAUUUUUAGUAAAUUCUUGUGUUAAUUUAGUCCAUUGUGUAUGGGUUUGGAAUUAAUAUUGUUUGUACUUUGUCCUUGGUGCAUUUUAACCUUGUUUACAUGCAGUCCAAACCAUUUAUGGGAAAAUUGUUCAACUACUUUCUGUUAGCAGAAAGCACAGAGAGAGUGUUGUGCCACUUUUUAUUAUGCUAGCCUUUAUGGUCCUCAAACUCCUGUAAACAACAUCAUUCCUUCAUUCCCUCCUGCUUUGGCUAGCUACUGAUGGAACCUUCUAGUUAUGCAAAGAACCUGGAAAUGCUGCACAUCCUACUAAUGCAAUUCUGUCUUUCGAGCAUCCUGGGACGAACCUUGAUAUUAGAAUGAGUUAUUUUGAUGAUACAAUCUCAUUUCUAUAUGUUUAAACAUAUGUGUGCCUGCUUUAGAUUAUGAAGCACAAGUCCGAAUAGCAGCUGCCGAAAAGGAGUUAAGGAGGAGCUAACUUGUAAAGGAGGCAAGAUGAGAGAAGAAAUGCCUAACCCCCAUCACCUAUUUCCCACGCAAACAAGGGAUUAUUUUGUUUCCCCUCACAUCCUGUCCUUCACAUAAAGGGCAAUGUUAAGAUUAAGAUAUAGGGGCUAUGCCACGGAGCCUGAUGAGAAACUUAUACGAAACGCAACAUAUAUGAUGGUAGCAAGGUUGACAGGAAGUGUUGCUAAUUAACUUGUAGGAACCUUUACGUGGUUCUAUAUCAAGCCAACUCAGAAUGUCACUUCAGGGGCUUGGCUAUGCAAGUCGUCUUCUAGAGCUGUCAUUUCAGCAGGAAUCACAAACGGAGUUGACACCGAUGAAUGGAAUCCAUCCAUUGAUACACAACUUCCUCGAUUGAUAACCGCUCUGGAAAUGUUGUGGUUGAGUGUAAGGCUACGUAGCAAGGAGAACUCAGUCCCGUGUUGAGAGCGCUACUUCAGUGUUGAUAAGUUAUAGAGAUGUCCUCUGAUCUUCAAAAGUGAGGAACUAACCCAGAGUUGUCCUAGUUCUCACUUCCGGUAUAGGGGUGUGAUCCGGCAUCACCCCUUACUUGCUUUCUACUCAAACAAUCCAAACCAGUGAUGGGGAAAUAGAUUAACAACUUUCUAUUAGGAGAAAGCAUAGAGACAGUGUUGUGCCACUUUUUUUUUAUGCUAGCAUUUAUGGGCAAGGUCAAGUGAACCUUUUGUCCUAAGCAAGGCCACCUGUCGCAUUCACAAAACGAGUUUAUGAGGUGAUUCUCUGUCAAAUUCUAGGACAUCUAAGUUGAUUCAGGUGGUCAGAUAUAUAUUAUCUAUUUUCAUCUUUGUGAUCUUUAUUUAUGUCUCAUUUCAUUUUUUCAUUUUGUUCGCAUCAGUUUGCUCAUUUUCUAGGCAAGAAUCGAUCCAUCCAGAGCUCAAAUGCAUUUCCAGAUUGCCCCUCCGCUUCAUUAGUAGGUGGACUUUCCUGGAAAUUUGCAUCUCUACUUCUGACUGAAUGAGUGUUAGCACUGGAAUUGGUGCUAUUCCCCACACACCUGAAAUUUGCUCUGACGAGAUGGAUCCUGUUGAAUCCCAGAUUCCUACAAGGUUUGUUUAGUUUAUGGUUUUCUUUGAUUUUUAUACCAUUUAUUAAUUAUUAGUUGUUGUUUUCCUGCGACUAAACCCUGCGAGCAAUAAAAACAAAAUUGAAUCAAAUUAGUAAAAUUAUGGUGAUCGUUUUUAGUUCCUUCAUCUCGCAUUGUAAUUAGCGAUGGUCCACAAACUCUUGAAGAUGACAUAAUUCCUUCAUUCCUUCUUGAUUGGGCCAUCUACUAAUGGAACCUUCCAGUUACACAAAAGAACCUGGAAAUGCUACACAUCCACUAAUGCAACUGUCUUGCGAGCAUCCCGAGACAAAUGUCUCUGAGCCAUUUAUAACCUUUGGUGAUGCAUUGCGUAUGUACCAUACUAUCUCAUAGAAGGAUAAUAUUUCUGAUGAUGACUAUAUAAUUUCAUAAGCUGGGAUCGGUCUAGAAGUGGGAAUGAUGUCAAUCCUACAUGAUAAUGAAGCACAAGCAUGAAUAGCUCUGCCGAAAAAGGUCAAUAAUUCUGUUGGAUUCCUUGUCUGGAACUUGCUGUCCAACUUAUUAGGAGUUAAGGAGGAGCUAACUUGUAAAGGAGGCAAGAUGAGAGAAGAAAUGCCUAACCCCCAUCACCUAACUUCCCAUGCAAACAAGGGAGUAUUUUGUUUCCCCUCACAUUUUUUUUCCUUCACUUAAAAGGGCAAUGUUAAGUUAAGAUUUGGGGUGAGGGUGUUUGUGUGCAUGCUUGAUUAUGUGGUUGUAAAUAAUUUGAUUACUCUAUCUCCGAUGUGUUGAUUCUGAAGGACCCUUUUUUCAAUAGUGUAUAUAACAAUGCGAAUACUAAAGAAGUUAUGUGUUUUUAAAUGGCAGGACAUGCCAUGGAGCCGGAUGAGAAACUUAUGCAAAAUGCAGCAGAUUUGAUGGUAGCAAGGUUGGUAGGAAGUCUUGCUAAUGUAACUUAUUAGGAACCUUUACGUGGUCCAGUAUCAAACCAACUCAGAAGGUCACUUCAGGGCUUGGCCAUAGCAAAUGAUCUUCUAGAGCAGUCAUUUUAGCUGGUGACUAAUGGAAUCACAGGCGGCGAUGACACCGAUGAAUGGAAUCCAUCCAUUGACACACAUCUUCCUCGAUUGAUAGCCGCUCUGGAAAUGUUGUGAUACACACAAAGUUUUAAAUAUUAUUCCAUCAUUUGUAUUUGUCUAUGACAGUUAGAUCAGCUAUCGAGGGACCAAAUUUGCUUUUGAUUUCAAACUUGAGUUUGCUCAUACUGCUCAUCUAACUUUUGCUGUUGUUCAUUGCAGGUUGAGUGCAAGGCUGAGCUGCAAGCAGAACUCGGUCCUUUGUUGAGAACACUAUUUCAGUAUUGAAUGAGAUUUACUUAUUAAAGCAAUAAUACCAGCAAAUAGCUGAGAAAAAUUUCGUCCAAACCAUUUAAUGGGGAAAUAGAUCGAUUACUUUCAAACGGGAGCCCUUUAUCCAGAGCCAGGGCAUGUGUCACAUUCACAACAAGUUUAUGAGAAUCGAUCAACCCAGAGCUCAAAUGCAUUUCCAGUUUGCCCCUCGGCUUCAUCAGGAGGUGGAUUAUCCAGGCAAUUUGCAUCUCUACUUCUGACCAAAUGAGUGCUAGCAUUUACUCAUCUGGCCUUGUUAGCACUGGAAUUGGUGCUAUACCCCAUACACCGGAAAUCGACUCUGACGAGAUAGAACCAGUUGGAUCCCAGAAUCCUACAAGGUUUGUUUAGUUUAUGGCAUCUUUUGAUUUUUAUAUUAUUGAUUAAAUGUUAAUUAUUAAUUGUUGUUUUUCUAUGAGUAAACCCUCCGACCAACAAAAACUAAAAGGAAUCAAAUUAGCAAAAUUAUGGUGAUCAUUUUUCAGUUCGCUCAUCUCGUAUUUCAAUUGGCAAUGGUCCACAAACUCUUGUAAACGACAUCAUUCCUUCAUUCCCUCCUGCUUUAGCUAGCUACUGAUGGAACCUUCCAAUUAUGCAAAAGAACCUGGAAAUGCUGCACAUCCUACUAAUGCAAUUCUGUCUUCCGAGCAUCUUGGGACAAACCUUGAUAUUAGAAUGAGUUAUUUUGAUGAUACAAUCUCAUUUUUAUAUGUUUAGACGUAUGUGUGCCGGCUUUAUAUUAUGAAGCACAAGUCCGAAUAGCAGCUGCCGAAAAGGUUACAAACUCAGCUGGAUUCUUAAUCUGGAAUUUGUUGUCCAACAUAUUAGUAGUUAAGGAGGAGCUACUAACUUCUAAAGGAAGUGAGAUGAGAGAAGAAAUACCUAACGCCCAUCACCUAACUUCCCAUGCAAACAAGGGAGUAUUUUGUUUCCCCUCACAUUUUUUUCCCUUCACAUAAAGGGCUAUGUUAAGAUUAAGAUUUGGGGUGAGGGUGUUUGUGUGCAUGCUUGAUUAUGUGUUUGUAAAUAAUUUGAUUACUCUAUCUCUGAUGUGUUGAUUCUGAAGGACCCUUUUUUCCAUAGUGUAUAUAACUAUGCGAAUGCUAAAGAAGUUAUGUGGUUUUAAUUGACAGGUCUAUGCCACAGAGCCUGAUGAGAAACUUAUACGAAAUGCAGCACAUUUGACAGGAAGUCUUGCUAAUGUAACCUGUAGGAGUUAUGGAGGAGCUAACUUUUUAGGAAACAAGAUAAGAAAAGUAGCUAACCCCCACCACCUAAUUUUCUAUGCAGACAAAGGAGUGUUCUAUCUUGCCUCACAUUUUAUCGUCCAUCACAUAAAGGGAAAUGUUUAGAUUCA
This is a long non-coding RNA of Salvia splendens (bonfire salvia), 7724 nucleotides long. RefSeq lists it as uncharacterized. NCBI's taxonomy places the organism in Eukaryota, Viridiplantae, Streptophyta, Magnoliopsida, Lamiales, Lamiaceae. The record is from RefSeq and is a predicted model, not a curated record. The transcript is spliced from 28 exons.